This is an RNA transcript of Cebus imitator (Panamanian white-faced capuchin), 1930 nucleotides long. It is a transcript of the gene named RAD52 homolog, DNA repair protein, with no coding region annotated. Lineage: Eukaryota; Metazoa; Chordata; Mammalia; Primates; Cebidae. The record is from RefSeq and is a predicted model, not a curated record. The transcript has 12 exons.
UGGCCAACAGAGGGUACCCUUUCAUUUCUUUUCUCCUUCUCCCCAGAAAGCUUGCCUUCUCAAGACUGCCUCAUCAAGUUCUGCAUGUGUUUAAAUGUGUCUCUCCCCCACCCUUUCUUCCUCUCCCGAUUUAACAGAAUUAUUUGUCAGCAUUUGCAUACCGUGAGUUUUCUUUUUCAGGGAGAUAUUUUAGUUCUGUCUCAGGCUCUCCAUUCUUCUCUCUUCUUUGCAUCUCUCUUCCUAUCUGGAUCCCUCUUUGCUGUUCUUAAAGAGCUGGACGAGAGGUUGAGAAACAUCUCUACCAGAAAUUGAUGUUUUUCUACUUCCAGAGGUCAAUCAGAAUCAAGAUGUCUGGGACUGAGGGAGCAAUUCUUGGAGGGCGUGACAGCCAUCCUGCUGCUGGCGGCAGCUCGGUGUUAUGCUUUGGACAGCACCAGUACACAGCAGAAGAGUACCAGGCCAUCCAGAAGGCCCUGAGGCAGAGGCUGGGCCCAGAAUAUAUAAGUAGCCGCAUGGCUGGAGGAGGCCAGAAGGUGUGUUACAUUGAGGGUCAUCGGGUAAUUAAUCUGGCCAAUGAGAUGUUUGGUUACAAUGGCUGGGCACACUCCAUCACGCAACAGAAUGUGGAUUUUGUUGACCUGAACAAUGGCAAGUUCUACGUGGGAGUUUGUGCAUUUGUGAGGGUCCAGCUGAAGGAUGGUUCAUAUCAUGAAGACGUUGGUUAUGGUGUUAGUGAGGGCCUCAAGUCCAAGGCCUUAUCUUUGGAGAAGGCAAGGAAGGAGGCAGUCACAGACGGGCUGAAGCGAGCCCUCAGGAGUUUUGGGAAUGCACUUGGAAACUGUAUUCUGGACAAAGACUACCUGAGGUCACUGAAUAAGCUUCCACGUCAGGUGCCUCUUGAAGUGGAUUUAACUAAAGCGAAGAGACAAGAUUUUGAACCGACUGUGGAAGAGGCAAGAUACAACAGUUGCCGACCGAACGUGGCCCUGGGACACCCACAACUACAGGAGGUGACCUCCCCUUCUAGACCAAGCCACGCUGUGAUACAGGGGAACAAGGACUGCAGCUCCCGACGCCUGACCUCAUCUGCUGUGGAGAGCGAGGCCUCGUACCAGCGGAAGCUCCGGCAAAAGCAGCUGCAGCAGCAGUUCCGGGAGCAGAUGGAGAAGCAGCAAGUCCACGUGUCCACCCCUCCAGCUGAGAAGAGUGAGGCUGCGCCUCCGGUCCCUCCUCUGACACACAGCACUCCCGUAACUGCGGUCUCAGAACCACUCCUGGAGAAAGACUUCCUUGCAGGAAUGACUCAAGAAUUAAUCAGUAAAUACCUUGAAAUGCUUAGACUCUUGAAGACAACUCUUUAAAGUGGGCUAUGACUCCAGAUGCAGGGGAUGGUGUGGUCAAGCCCUUGUCUAGAGCAGACCCACCCCAGACCUCUGACACACUAGCCUUGAACAACCAGACGGUGACCCAGGACAGGACUCCACACAGCCUUUGCCACCAGAAACCACAAGCGAAAUCUGGACCUUCGGACCUUCAGACGUAUAGCACUGACCAGUGCAUAACAGGAAACUGGGAAUCUCACAGGAAGAGCCAGGACAUGAAGAAAAGGAAGUAUGAUCCAUCUUAACUGAGGCUCAGGCCACAUGAUUGGACCUUGUCACAAAGGGACUUUGGAAAACUACAUUUUUGUCAUGAAAUCGUUCAUCACUCCUGGAGAAUGAACUUUACUGCUAAGGAUUUAUCUUGCUUCAUUCUGAACCUUCUCAAGAGGAUCUGACUGAGAGCCUACUGCAGUUAGAGCUGAGCACUUUUAAAAAGCUUGUCCCCGACUGGGCUAGGUGGCUCAUGCCUGUAAUCCCAGCACUUUGGGAGGCCGAGGCAGGUGGAUCACCAGGUCAGGAGUUCAAGACCAGCCUAGCGAAGAUGGUGA